This 87-nucleotide transfer RNA is filed under the name Alcanivorax sp. RNAcentral describes it as "tRNA-Ser". It matches the Rfam family "tRNA". From Rfam's summary of the family: Transfer RNA (tRNA) molecules are approximately 80 nucleotides in length. Their secondary structure includes four short double-helical elements and three loops (D, anti-codon, and T loops). The record is from RNAcentral. Lineage: Bacteria; Pseudomonadati; Pseudomonadota; Gammaproteobacteria; Oceanospirillales; Alcanivoracaceae.
AGUGUGAUGGCUGAGUGGUUUAAAGCGGUUGUCUUGAAAACAAUUCCUCUCGAAAGAGAUUCGUUGGUUCGAAUCCAACUCACACUG